This 514-nucleotide ribosomal RNA is filed under the name uncultured bacterium. RNAcentral's name for it is "bacterial SSU rRNA". It matches the Rfam family "Bacterial small subunit ribosomal RNA", at positions 8 to 518 of the family's 1533-position model. The record is from RNAcentral.
AGAGUUUGAUCCUGGCUCAGGAUGAACGCUGGCGGCGUGCCUAAUACAUGCAAGUCGAGCGAGAAUCUCAGAAACAAUUCUCGGAUGCGUUCAGGAGAGGAAAGCGGCGGACGGGUGAGUAACGCGUAGGCAACCUGCCCCUGGCAGAGGGAUAGCCAUUGGAAACGAUGAUUAAAACCUCAUAACGCUGGAGUAACACAUGUUACAUCAGCCAAAGACUUAUCGGCGUGGGGAUGGGCCUGCGUCUGAUUAACUAGUUGGUGAGGUAACGGCCCACCAAGGUGACGAUCAGUAGCCGACCUGAGAGGGUGAUCGGCCACAUUGGAACUGAGACACGGUACCAAACUUCUACGGAAGGCAGCAGUAAGGAAUCUUGCACAAUGGGGGAAACCCUGAAUGCAGCAACGCCGCGUGAACGAUGAAGGCCUUAGGGUUGUAAAGUUCUGAUCUGUGGGAAGAAGAAAGUGACGGUACCACAGGAGAAAGCCCCGGCUAAAUACGUGCCAGCCGCCGC